Molecule: long non-coding RNA, 6045 nt
Organism: Macaca mulatta (Rhesus monkey)
Lineage: Eukaryota; Metazoa; Chordata; Mammalia; Primates; Cercopithecidae
Source: RefSeq, a predicted model, not a curated record
CACCCAUUUUACUUGCUGAUGUUACCUGCCAGACCCUGGCUGACACUUGCAUUUAUGGCUCCUGAUGCAGGGAAUGCUGUUCAGAGCUCUUCACGCCUGCCUCUUCCUGUGCAAAUCCUCAGGCCAGUCCAAGGGCCAGUAGGCAGGUAGAGAAAGAGACGACUCCUUCCAGCCACAGCUCUUCCUAAUGGGCUGCACCCUCCAAGCCAGUUCAGCACCACACCCGGCCACACCAGCAACAUCUUUGCCAAUGCCAGUGCCCUGGAUCUCUUCUCGAUUCCCUGAGAUUCCUGGAGCUGCUCACAAGGCUUGAGGCCCUGGGCUCUUGGCAGCUGAAACAAAACCUGAAAGAAACUCAUUGGGCUUUGCAAUCAAUGUGCUGAAACGUCUCCAGCAAGUGGCCACAUCAUCCCAUUUCCGGUCACGCAGAUGCUGGAGCUACUGGGCUCCUAGUCCCGAGUUGAUGGUCUUAGAGAACUUGAGAUCAGAUUCUGGUCCAGAGGGAAGAGCAGAUUUGGGUUCCUGAGAAGAAACCAGGAAGCAAUGGCUAGCCUCAGAUUUUCUGGAGCAAUCCUGCUUUUAGGCAUUCUUAUUUUGUGGUCUACAAGAAUUAUUUUGUCCAUAUUAGAGCAUGUGUUCUAACUGUGGCAGUGUGGGCAUAGGGAGGUGGAGAGGUUGGGGAAGAUGUAGGUGUAGCAACUGACAGAAACUGAGGUUGGGGAGCUGUUCUGGGGAGGCCACUGUCGCUAUCAGGAUACUGUGUUAUUAAGAGGGCCACUGACAGGAACGGAAGUUAAGUCUGGUUUAUCUGUUUAGCCCAUUCUCAGUCUUGUCAGCUAGACAGAAAUCAGGGCUCUGGUGUAUUGGUGGAGGAAGAAGAAUGGGAGGAUCUGGAGCUGGCAAUACGCAUGAGGGCCUAAAGCUUUGGCAGCAUUGCAAUGGGUGUGAUGCACAGCCAGAGGCUUUCAGAUGGCACUGGGAAGCUGGGAUGGAGGUUAAGGGGGAAAGGAAGACCCAACGAAGGAGCAGGACAAGCUUUACCUCUUCCACUGUUUUGUUUAGGCCAACCUUAAUACCUGGGAUUUAACUUCUGAAUAAUGAAUUUAAAAAGAACAAAUAAGAUAUGAAGAUAUUGAUGCCAAUAAUGUGGCACAUUGCUAGGGUCUUGGGUCAGUUCCUAGCAGUUUUGCUAGCAUGCAUGUUAGCAGGUGACAGGAUAACCACUGUGACCCCAGAGGGUUUUGACAAUCUGGCCCUGAUCUUUCUCAAUUCAUCUUUUUACUUUCCCAUCAACCCAUGCUCUUGUCUUUCUGAAUGCUUCCCCAUUCCCAGACACCCUGCUUUUAUACCGCUGUGCUGGGAGUAUUCUCACUGCUUGGUGGACAACCAUCUCUCUUUAUUCUCUGGAAAAUUCUUAUUAUCUAUUCUUUGCUUUCCCUUUCGGGUUCCUUUUAUUUGAUUUUUCUAGCUCUCUAGAUAAAAUUAAUCUUACCUUUCUCUGAACUUUUGCUUUUAUUAUAACAUAUGUAGAAUUAUAAUCAUUUCAUCCUUGGUGUCUCUCUGCUAGAUCAUGUAUGCUUUAAGGGAGGAGACCAAAGUUAAAUCGAGUUGCCUUGCCUAGCAUUAAACUAAAUGAACGUCUGAGAUAUGCGGUACUCUCUCAGUAUUUGGUAGGUGUUUAUAAAAGGGAAAGAGAGUGGGAGUAGAGAAGCUCUGUCUCUGCUAUCAAUGUUGUGUGUUGGUAUAAACAUGUGUUCAUUUAAACACACACACACACACAGAAAUAUAGAAGCAUUAAUAUUUACUAUGUGCCGUGUACUGUGCUAAGAAAUUUUACAUGGAUGUUUUAAAUACAAACAAGGGUUUCUAAUGCAGAUAAUGGUAUUGUCUCUAUUUUAGAAGUGAGAAAAUAGAAACAAGGAAGGGUUGAAGUGAUUUAUCCAAGGUCACAUAGGUCACAUAGUAUCGAUUCAAAUUCAGACAGUCUAACUCCAGAGCCCAAGACUUCAUCUGUUAUUAUUAAUUAUCUCUGUUUAUUGCAUCUCAGUGGAAACUGUCUCUCUUUUUUUAGCUGCUUGACUCCCACUGUAGGAGCUGAAAACUCCAGACAUUUUUAAGUCUCCCUUGCAGCUAGGAUGCAGGUAUGAGACCCAGGCUUGACUAAAUGGAUGCACCUACUAUUGCCUUUGAACUGGGAGCUGGUCACACAUAGAGACAGAGACAGCAGGAAAUCCAGAGGCACAGAGGUGCAGCAGCACCGUUCAAAGUCUUGUGUGUGUGGCUGCCAGUCAGCCUAUGAUAUGUAUGUUCAGUGUGAGGGGAGCGACGGUUGUUUCCGCAUUAGAUGGGUUAGGUGGUGUGAUUUUAGUUGUCCACCUGCUGCCUAGCUGCCCUUGUCUGGCCUCCUUUUCUAAGCCUGGUUUCAACACUGUUGAAAUGCCCUGAGCUGUUCAACAACACAGCAACACAUGCUUUUCUCUGCUGAAAUCAGGUAGAGUUAUUUUCUGUUGCUUGCAGUAAACAACUCUGACUGGUAUAAUAUCCAAACUUAUUAUCUUGAAUAUAAGACUCUCACAUACAUCAUUCUUACCUGGAAGAAAAAAACACAUAAGUAACCAGAAUGUUGUGAAUGUUCAACAGAGCAGAGGGUGAAUGUGACAGAUUGUGUAUCAUCAGGAACAAUUUCUAGUUUAUCCAUCUGACUACUUACUUAUGAUUCAUUUGGCAAUUUGCAUGGAUGGUUAUAGGACUUUUUAGUAUAUUCUUACAAAACUCGUGUCCAAAAAUGGACUUUUACCUUCCAGUGUAAUCUGACUCUGGGCUUUAUAAAUUUCAUAAUAAAUUUUUCCUUUGAAUGAUCAGAAAGAAAAAUGCUAAAUACCUUUCUGGCUCAUUAUAGGCAAAAUGGCUUCCUGAAAUUGUAGUAGUUAAAAAACUAAGAUCACAGAGGAAGUUGGAUGGAACUGCUGAAUUAUUUAAUAUAAGCUGACUCAUUAGAGCCUUAGCUUCUGAGAUGGAAGAAAAUAUGAUGGUUUACAUAAAGGUUACUGAUAAAUUCCAAGAUGAAAUUCACUUUGAAGGGAGUAAAAUGUUGUUGGGGGUAACUAAUCCCUGUGGCAUAAUGCAGUGAAGGAGUUGAGUUUACAGUUUGACAGGGGGUUAUGAUCACAAGACAUUUCUGAAUUGCGGGAGAGGCCACUGCUUCAGAUGGUCAAGUGGCCUACUGAGAUGUCAGAUAUUAGACAGGAAUAAACUUUACAGAGGCCAAAGGUUUGACCUUAGGAAGUCUAGACAUGCUAAUGUAAUUAUCAUCACUCUAAUCAGAUUAUAAAGUAAACACAUACUCUACAAAGCAAAGAAUCUCAUGGGGUUGUUAUUUAGAAGAUGAAGAAAAGCUGCUUCCUGUCUCUCUUAGAAAAGCAAUGGGAAGAAAUGGGGUGGUUGCAGCAUGAGGGAUGUUGGUUUGAUCAGUGGUUCUCGACUGGGGACGAUUUGGCAAUAUGUGGAGACAUUUUCGAUCUAACCAUUACAACUGUGGGAGUGGGGAGACAUCCGGCAUUGCUACUGGCAUUGAGUGGGGAGAUGCCAGGGUUGCUGCUGAAUAUCCUGUCAUACACAGGACACCCCUGUAACUAAAGAAUUAUCUGGCCCCAAAUGUCAAAAGUGCUGAGGCUGGGAAACUCUGGGCUAGACGUAAGAAAUAACUUUUUGAAUCUGAAGUGAUGUAAAUAGAAGAAUAAGGUUAUAGGCCCAGGACUACUAUGGACCACGUGAAGCACCUGCUUCAGGGAACAAAAUUUGAAAGAGUGCCCCACACCUCAGUAAUCAAGAAAAAGAAUAUUUAGAAACUCAAAUUUAAUGCAAAAAUAUCCAUGGUGUACAAGCUAUCAAAAUUUUAAGUAAAGACAGGAUUCAACAGAGAUAGGAUUAUGGUAGGGAAGUUAAAAUGUUAUUUAUCUUGAUUACUGAAGCUGUGGGCACUCCCUACCUUACAUUUUGUGCUCGGGGUAAGUGCCUCAGCUGCUUCACACUAGCCCUGGCCUGUUGGAUCAUCCAUGGUAGAACACCAUUUUAGCUAAAAGGUAAUUUGGCUUGAUUAUUACAAAUGAGGGGUGUUCAAGUCUGGUGAAAGUAAGUGAGAAGAUUCAGCUCUAGAAUUUUAGACUUCAUUAAUAUAUUAAGUAAGGAAGCAACCCCCAUAUUGAGCUGCAUGGAAAUUCCCUAAUAUGGGUUUUUAAUCUCUGUGAUUUAUAGCCUGGCUUUGAUUAUCCAAGAUCAUCUUCAUUAUGAGUGGUAAUGUAUGGCUGGCAUCCCAAAGAAACAUGUGGCAUUAACUGUGAUCUUUAUCAACAUGUUUCUGUUGCAAUUCAGCCUUCCAGAAAAAUAACCACUGUUAUGACUCUUCCAUUUUACUUACCAAGUAAACCAUUACUUCUCAUUCUCUCCUCUCCACGAUCCCACUUCACCUCAAAACCAAUUUAGCAUUCUCUUCUGGGCCCUAUUGAUAUUGACAUUAUUUUAUAUUACUUGCACCCUUCCCCACAAAAAAAAUGCCUUAGAUAGAUUUUUUAAGGGGAGGAUUUAAAAUAUUUUUCCUUCUAAUAGGCUUGGGAAAUUGUCUAUGUCUAAAUUCUAAGUUUAUGUAUGUGGGAUAUAGAGUACUUACAAGAUAAUGCUGACCCCUUCAGAAAUGCUAGAUAAAACUUUCAAAGAUAGUUUACUAUUCUGUGCAGGGAAGCAUAGACAGUUAUAAAAAAUUAUGGUAAUAUUACUAAUUAGGAGAAAUGUAGUCUUGGAUCUAUACCAGAACAAACAGCCUAACCAUUAUAGAUUGCCUUCCAUUAAUUUCCAUCUGUGAGUGUCUAGCCUAUUAGAGUGCCUGCAUUCAGUAAAUGUGGUUGUACAUAAAGCAACUAGAUAUGGGACCAGCCACUUACCACAUCUGAUCACUGAAUCUAACUGACUUAUGUACGAUUGCUUUUGAUCUAUGCUAACUAUCUUUAUCUCAGUGCAAAUCUCAGCUUCCUAUCUGUUAUUUUAAAAACGCUUUCAUCAAAGAAUAGCAGCAGGUUGGGCUGAAUUAUAGGGUUUGAGUUUAGUUUUUCUUUUUUAAUUCUGUUAGAAACAAAGCAACAUCAAACAUGGGCUGCUUCUUUUAAACCAAAUAGUCAUUACUAUCUUGAUGAGCUAGUUUGUGUUUAUUUCUUAAGAAAAAAGAGGAAGGGAAAAAGUGUUAGAUGGGUAGAUAAAGAAUAAUUCUAAUUUAAUUUAUAUUACCAAAGCUAGGCAUAUCCAAAUGUUCUCUCUCUCUCUCUCUCUCUCUCUCUCUUUCUCUCUUUCUCUCUCUCUCCCCUCUCUCUCUCGGUACAGAGGUGAAUGGAAGUCUGCCUAAUGCUUAAGCAAAAAGUACACUUGAUUGUUUCAGAUUUAGGAUUUUUCUGAGCUGCUUGGAUGUGCAAGGCCGUAAUUACCUUGCAGUGGAAAAUUCAAAUCCACCAGGGUAGGCCAGUGUUGAGUAUGAAGUGGAAAGAGUGUUGCCCUGGGGUACAAGUCCUGCCCUGCCUUUGGGAUUAUGCAUUUUGACCAAAGACAGGACAUAGAAUAUAAGUUACAUGUUUCUAGGUUUUCCUAUUCACAAAAUGAUGAUGAAAAUGCUUAGAAGUUCCUUUGAAAUAAACUGUCCACAUGAAUAUUAGAUUUGUGGGCUACCUUUUGUUCUACGGCAGAAAAGAAAUUAUGUCCCCUGGAGAAUUUUAGUUAGAUCUUCAGAAAGAAUGGAUGGAAAAUUGACACUAAAUGGGGUGUGUAUUGUCUUUUCUAUAUUCAUGUUCUCUAAACAAAUGUUAUAACACCUAUUUUAUUUAAUCUUACGAAUAGAUACUGAACAAAUGAAGAAGUCAGUGAAUAAAUCAAGAGAGCACUGCAAAUACUAAGAAUCAUUUCAUAAAACUUUGCUCUUAGUCAUACAUAAAGUCUAGGCCACAUGUAUAUCUUACUGUGGUUUGUGCUAGUCACUGCUGAUAAGAGAGUGUCAUAUAACAAUUU